RNAcentral lists this ribosomal RNA (713 nucleotides) under uncultured bacterium. Its description in RNAcentral is "bacterial SSU rRNA". It matches the Rfam family "Bacterial small subunit ribosomal RNA", at positions 79 to 789 of the family's 1533-position model. The record is from RNAcentral.
CUUGCUUCUCUUGAGAGCGGCGGACGGGUGAGUAAUGCCUAGGAAUCUGCCUGGUAGUGGGGGAUAACGUCCGGAAACGGACGCUAAUACCGCAUACGUCCUACGGGAGAAAGCAGGGGACCUUCGGGCCUUGCGCUAUCAGAUGAGCCUAGGUCGGAUUAGCUAGUUGGUGGGGUAAUGGCUCACCAAGGCGACGAUCCGUAACUGGUCUGAGAGGAUGAUCAGUCACACUGGAACUGAGACACGGUCCAGACUCCUACGGGAGGCAGCAGUGGGGAAUAUUGGACAAUGGGCGAAAGCCUGAUCCAGCCAUGCCGCGUGUGUGAAGAAGGUCUUCGGAUUGUAAAGCACUUUAAGUUGGGAGGAAGGGCAGUAAAUUAAUACUUUGCUGUUUUGACGUUACCGACAGAAUAAGCACCGGCUAACUCUGUGCCAGCAGCCGCGGUAAUACAGAGGGUGCAAGCGUUAAUCGGAAUUACUGGGCGUAAAGCGCGCGUAGGUGGUUCGUUAAGUUGGAUGUGAAAUCCCCGGGCUCAACCUGGGAACUGCAUUCAAAACUGACGAGCUAGAGUAUGGUAGAGGGUGGUGGAAUUUCCUGUGUAGCGGUGAAAUGCGUAGAUAUAGGAAGGAACACCAGUGGCGAAAGCGACCACCUGGACUGAUACUGACACUGAGUGCGAAAGCGUGGGGAGCAAACAGGAUUAGAUACCCUG